GAAGAAUGUAUUUUCUUUUGUAAAUAUUCUCUUCCAUUUAAGGGUGGCACCCAGACCUGGCUCAGCAAAACCAGCGAGUGACUUGGAGAUCCCCAGCAAUGGAGGACAUGGAUUCCUUGCUUUUCACAACAAGGAAGGAAUGCUCCAAAGACUCCUCUUGUGUUCUCUUCUUCCCUCCUGAGCCCCCAAUGGCCACCACAGCUGCCCACAGCCAUCCACUCAACUCCAGGAUUUGUUUUCCUUUUUGUCCAAUCAUCAGUACAUCUCAGAGAUCUCUCUAUAUUGUCAUAUAUAGUUAUAGUAAUUAAAUUAUUUUCAUGGAACUAUAACAUUUCAUUGUAUAGUAUAUUUUUCAUUUUUCUGUCAAUAGAUGCUUAUGAUUUUUUUAGCUUUUGUUAUUGAAUAUGAAGCUAUUAUGAACAUUUGUAUUUGGACUCUGGUAUAUGUAUGGUACCAUUUUUUUGGAGUUACAUUGGAAUGGAAUUUCUGGAUCAUAUGAAAUGUGAAUAUGUAGCAUGUAAGAUAAUGUUGACCUCUAUCCCUCCAAGUGGUAUUGUUAAUUCACUUUCUCCAAUGUUAAAAGACUUCACAUUGUUCUGCUUUGUUACCAACAGUUAUUACUGUCAGACUUUAUUAAUUUGUCAAUUUAGUGGAUAAACAAAGUAAUUCACUUAGUGAUUUUAAUGGGUUUAAUGACUUCCAUGCAUUUGCUUCACAUUUGUGUAUCUUCCUUAAUGCCUCUUCAUGUCAGUUGUCCAUUUUAAUUUUGACUUAUUCAUUCUAUUAAUGAAUCAUGGUUUGGCUCCACAUCUGUUAUGCUCUUUAUGUUAU
Molecule: long non-coding RNA, 831 nt
Filed under: Marmota monax (woodchuck)
Lineage: Eukaryota; Metazoa; Chordata; Mammalia; Rodentia; Sciuridae
Source: RNAcentral